AAUGAACGCUGGCGGCGUGCCUAACACAUGCAAGUCGUGCGCGAACGGGACUUCGGUCCCUAGUAGAGCGGCGAACGGGUGAGUAACACGUGGGUAACCUGCCUGGGAGCGGGGGAUAACCUGGGGAAACUCGGGCUAAUACCGCAUACGUUCCCGGGGCUUCGGCUCCGGGAGGAAAGAUGGCCUCUGCUCGCAAGCUAUCUCUCCCAGAGGGGCCCGCGUCUGAUUAGCUAGUUGGUGAGGUAACGGCCCACCAAGGCGACGAUCAGUAGCCGGCCUGAGAGGGUGAUCGGCUACACUGGAACUGAGACACGGUCCAGACUCCUACGGGAGGCAGCAGUGGGGAAUAUUGGACAAUGGGGGCAACCCUGAUCCAGCAACGCCGCGUGGGGGAUGAAGGUCUUCGGAUUGUAAACCCCUGUUGAGAGGACGAAGGCUUGAGGGCGAACAGUCCUCAAGCUUGACGGUACCUCGAGAGGAAGCCCCGGCUAACUCUGUGCCAGCAGCCGCGGUAAUACG
Molecule: ribosomal RNA, 519 nt
Filed under: uncultured bacterium
Lineage: Bacteria
Description: bacterial SSU rRNA
Rfam family: Bacterial small subunit ribosomal RNA
Source: RNAcentral